Molecule: ribosomal RNA, 390 nt
Filed under: uncultured bacterium
Lineage: Bacteria
Description: bacterial SSU rRNA
Rfam family: Bacterial small subunit ribosomal RNA
Source: RNAcentral
AUUGAACGCUGGCGGCAUGCCUUACACAUGCAAGUCGAACGGCAGCACGGGAGCAAUCCUGGUGGCGAGUGGCGAACGGGUGAAUAAUGUAUCGGAACGUACCUUUCAGUGGGGGAUAACGUAGCGAAAGUUACGCUAAUACCGCAUAUUCUGUGAGCAGGAAAGCAGGGGAUCGCAAGACCUUGCGCUGAUUGAGCGGCCGAUAUCAGAUUAGCUAGUUGGUGAGGUAAAGGCUCACCAAGGCGACGAUCUGUAGCGGGUCUGAGAGGAUGAUCCGCCACACUGGAACUGAGACACGGUCCAGACUCCUACGGGAGGCAGCAGUGGGGAAUUUUGGACAAUGGGCGCAAGCCUGAUCCAGCCAUGCCGCGUGAGUGAAGAAGGCCUCGG